Molecule: small RNA, 124 nt
Filed under: Marmota monax (woodchuck)
Lineage: Eukaryota; Metazoa; Chordata; Mammalia; Rodentia; Sciuridae
Source: RNAcentral
GCCAGGUGCGGUGGGCAUGCCUGUAAUCCCAGCAGCUCCGGAGGCUGAGGCAGGAGGAUGACGAAUGCAAAGCCAGCCUCAGCAACAGCAAGGUGCUAAGCAACUCAGUGAGACCCUGUCUCUA